AGAGUUUGAUCCUGGCUCAGAACGAACGCUGGCGGCGUGGAUAAGACAUGCAAGUCGAGCGAGAUUUUUUUCUGUAGCAAUACAGGGAAAAAUCUAGCGGCGAACGGGUGCGUAACACGUGGGCAAUCUGCCGAGAAGUGGGGGAUAGCUCGCCGAAAGGCGAAUUAAUACCGCAUGUGAUUAGAGUGGACAUCCAUUCAAAAUCAAAGUCGGGGCAACCUGACGCUUCUUGAGGAGCCCGCGGCCUAUCAGCUAGUUGGUGAGGUAACGGCCCACCAAGGCUUAGACGGGUAGCUGGUCUGAGAGGACGACCAGCCACACUGGGACUGAGACACGGCCCAGACACCUACGGGUGGCAGCAGUCGAGAAUUUUUCUCAAUGGGGGAAACCCUGAAGGAGCGACGCCGCGUGGAGGAUGAAGGUCUUCGGGUUGUAAACUCCUGUCAUUUGGGAACAAUGCGUAAAUAUUAACUGUAUUUGCGUUGAUAGUACCAGAAGAGGAAGGGACGGCUAACUCUGUGCCAGCAGCCGCGGUAAUACAGAGGUCUCAAGCGUUGUUCGGAUUCAUUGGGCGUAAAGGGUGCGUAGGCGGCGCGGUAAGUCGGGUGUGAAAUCUCGGGGCUUAACUCCGAAACUGCAUUCGAUACUGCCGUGCUUGAGGACUGGAGAGGAGACUGGAAUUUACGGUGUAGCGGUGAAAUGCGUAGAUAUCGUAAGGAAGACCAGUGGCGAAGGCGGGUCUCUGGACAGUUCCUGACGCUGAGGCACGAAGGCCAGGGGAGCAAACGGGAUUAGAUACCCUAGUAGUCC
RNAcentral lists this ribosomal RNA (810 nucleotides) under uncultured bacterium. RNAcentral describes it as "bacterial SSU rRNA". It matches the Rfam family "Bacterial small subunit ribosomal RNA", at positions 8 to 796 of the family's 1533-position model. The record is from RNAcentral.